GUGCUUGCUUUGGCAGCACAUAUACUAAAAUUGGAAUGAUUCGGAGAAGAUUAGCAUGGUCCCUGUGCACAGGGAUGACACACAAAUUUGCAAAGUAUUCCAUAUUUUU
This 109-nucleotide small nuclear RNA is filed under the name Propithecus coquereli (Coquerel's sifaka). The record is from RNAcentral. Lineage: Eukaryota; Metazoa; Chordata; Mammalia; Primates; Indriidae.